This 1142-nucleotide long non-coding RNA is filed under the name Nicotiana tabacum (common tobacco). RNAcentral's name for it is "long non-coding RNA (NTAB_LNC017263)". Lineage: Eukaryota; Viridiplantae; Streptophyta; Magnoliopsida; Solanales; Solanaceae. The record is from RNAcentral.
AACAAGGAACAAAGUGAGGGAAUUCAUGAAAUUAAUAUGAGACUUUUCGUUAGAUACCGACGACGAUUCUUAAAUAUACAACGAAAUUCAUACGAGACUUCUCAGCAUAGUAGCAACGAAAUUUUGCGAUUCUAAGGGAGCACGGUUUAAUUUUUCUCAAGAAUAUCAUACAAAUAUUUCUCUACUUUGGUUCGCCGUUACGUAUUGUUUCAAUCAAUGAGUGUUAAAGGAAUUUUUAAGAGAAUCGAUUCAGAUAUGGUAAGGCUAUCUCUUCUUUCUUUUGUCAUGAUCCAUACGAUAUGAACGAAAUAUGCAAACGCACAAAUUACAUAAAUGACUCUAUUCGUAGAAAUAUUAGAGAUAUCUAUGUUCUUGUAUUUCCAUGUGUCAUAAUACUUUAUCAUCUCUUCAUGAGUCUCAGAAAAAUACGAAAGUUGAAACGAGCUUACUUUAUGAUAUUACUCAAAGGCAAAAUGGUCUUAUGUUAUUUCGAAAGAUUUUAUUAACGUACUUUUCAUGCAUUAUAUUCAUGUAAAUUGACAUGUGACCAGAUGAUGUUAUAUAUGCGUAUAUAUGUAUGUAUAUAUAUGUAUAUGGGAUAUGGGAAAGGUUAUAACGUUAUAUACGCACCCCACCUGAUCAGUAUACAUUGAUGAUUUUGUCCAUAGUGGCCAAGAUGAUAUGAUGGGAUGCCCUCAGAGGCUAAUGAUGGUAUGAAACAUGUACCUAUGCAUGACAUGAUAUUCAUAUGCAUAUGCAUAAUACUAUAAUUAUUUCAUGAUUUACAAAGUUAUUCAGACUUACAAGUUGAGUCAUGUACCCCAUAUUUCUUCCAUGUCUGUUAUGUACUUAUUUAUGUUCCUUACAUACUCGGUAUAUUUUUCGUACUGACGUCCCUUUUGCCUGGGGAUGUUGCGUUUCAUGUCCGCAGGUCCCAAUAGACACGUCGAGAGCCCUCCAAGUAGGCUAUCAGCUCAGCGGAAGAUGUUGGUGCGCUCCAUUUGCUUCAAAGUUGCUUGUUUGGUUAGUUUGAUUUAGACAUGUAUUGUUUGGUAUGGCGGGACUCUAUCCCGACCUAUAUGACAUUUAUGUACUCUUGGAGGCUUGUAGACAUAUGUCGUGUAUGUGAAAGAUUGUACGGC